This 511-nucleotide ribosomal RNA is filed under the name Vespa binghami. Its description in RNAcentral is "partial large subunit ribosomal RNA". The stretch from base 385 to 511 matches the Rfam family "Bacterial large subunit ribosomal RNA", at positions 2473 to 2600 of the family's 2925-position model. The record is from RNAcentral. Lineage: Eukaryota; Metazoa; Arthropoda; Insecta; Hymenoptera; Vespidae.
GGCUUAUUGGAAAUAAAUAAUAGGUCUAUUCUGCCCAUUGAUUUAUUUUAAAAGGCUGCAGUAUACUGACUGUACAAAGGUAGCAAAAUCAUUUGUUUUUUAAUUGAAAACUGGAAUGAAAGAGUGGAUGAAAUAUAAAUUGUCUCAAUAUAAUAUAUUGAAUUUAAAUUAAAAGUUAAAAUGCUUUUAUAUAUUUAUAAGACGAUAAGACCCUAUAGAAUUUAAUAAAAUUUAUUUAUUAAAAUUAUUAUUUUUGAUGAAAUUUAAUAAAUGAUUAUAUUUUAUUGGGAGGAUAGUUAAAUUAGUUAAACUUUAAUAGUUAAUAAACAUUGAUGAAUGAAUUAUUUGAUUAUUAUUAUAAUUAUUAGAAUAAAUUACCUUAGGGAUAACAGCGUUAUAAUUUUGGAGAGUUCAUAUUGAUAAAAUUGUUUGCGACCUCGAUGUUGAAUUAUGAUAAAAAUUAAAUGGAGAAAUUUAAAUUUUUAGUCUGUUCGACUAUUAAAAUCAUACA